GAAAAAGUUUUUUCUUAUGCAGGGUGAAGCCAGAGGAAACUCUGGUGGAGGUCCAUAGCGGUCCUGGUAUGCAAAUUGGUUGUCCAACCCAGGUCUAGGGGUGAAAAACUAAUCAAACCAUCUAGUAGCU
This 130-nucleotide non-coding RNA is filed under the name Mesitornis unicolor (brown roatelo). RNAcentral describes it as "Eukaryotic large subunit ribosomal RNA". It matches the Rfam family "Eukaryotic large subunit ribosomal RNA", at positions 818 to 952 of the family's 3401-position model. Lineage: Eukaryota; Metazoa; Chordata; Aves; Mesitornithiformes; Mesitornithidae. The record is from Rfam by way of RNAcentral.